UACGUAGGUGGCAAGCGUUGUCCGGAUUUAUUGGGCGUAAAGCGCGCGCAGGCGGUCCUUUAAGUCUGAUGUGAAAUCUUGCGGCUCAACCGCAAGCGGUCAUUGGAAACUGGGGGACUUGAGUACAGAAGAGGAAAGCGGAAUUCCACGUGUAGCGGUGAAAUGCGUAGAGAUGUGGAGGAACACCAGUGGCGAAGGCGGCAUCCUGGAUCGGCAUUGACGCUGAGGCGCGAAAGCCAGGGGAGCAAACGGG
Molecule: ribosomal RNA, 253 nt
Filed under: uncultured bacterium
Lineage: Bacteria
Description: partial 16S ribosomal RNA
Rfam family: Bacterial small subunit ribosomal RNA
Source: RNAcentral